GACGAACCGUGCGAACGUUAUUCGGAAUCACUGGGCUUAAAGGGCGUGCAGGCGGUCUGUUAAGUUCAGGGUGAAAGCUCCCGGCUCAACUGGGAGAGGUCCUUGGAUACUGGCAGACUUGAGGGAGGUAGAGGAGAGUGGAAUUCCCGGUGUAGUGGUGAUAUGCGUAGAUAUCGGGAGGAACACCAGUGGCGAAGGCGGCUCUCUGGGCCUUUCCUGACGCUGAGACGCGAAAGCCAGGGGAGCGAACGGG
RNAcentral lists this ribosomal RNA (253 nucleotides) under uncultured bacterium. RNAcentral's name for it is "partial 16S ribosomal RNA". It matches the Rfam family "Bacterial small subunit ribosomal RNA", at positions 524 to 776 of the family's 1533-position model. The record is from RNAcentral.